CCUACGGGAGGCUGCAGUGAGGAAUAUUGGUCAAUGGGCGCGAGCCUGAACCAGCCAAGUCGCGUGAGGGAGGACGGCACUACGGGUUGUAAACCUCUUUUGCCGGGGAGCAACGGGCGCCACGUGUGGCGGCACUGAGGGUACCCGGAGAAAAAGCAUCGGCUAACUCCGUGCCAGCAGCCGCGGUAAUACGGGGGAUGCGGGGGUUAUCCGGAUUUAUUGGGUUUAAAGGGUGCGGAGGCGGAUGUUUAAGUCAGGGGGCAAAUUGAGGGGUUCAACCACUUCCCGCCAUUGAAACUGGCGUUGUUGAGUGGAAGAGAAGUAUGCGGAAUGCGGGGUGUAGCGGUGAAAUGCAUAGAUAUCACGCAGAACCCCGAUUGCGAAGGCAGCAUGCCGGCUUCCGACUGACGCUGAAGCACGAAAGCGUGGGGAUCGAACAGGAUUAGAUACCCUAGUAGUC
RNAcentral lists this ribosomal RNA (460 nucleotides) under uncultured bacterium. RNAcentral describes it as "partial 16S ribosomal RNA". It matches the Rfam family "Bacterial small subunit ribosomal RNA", at positions 338 to 795 of the family's 1533-position model. The record is from RNAcentral.